GCACAAGCGGUGGAGUAUGUUGUUUAAUUCGAAGAUACACGAAGAACCUUACCAGGUCUUGACAUACCAUUGACAGGCGCAGAGAUGUGCUCUCCUUCGGGCAAUGGAUACAGGUGGUGCAUGGUUGUCGUCAGCUCGUGCCGUGAGGUGUUGGGUUAAGUCCCGCAACGAGCGCAACCCUCAUUGUUAGUUACCACCAUUCAGUUGAGGACUCUAAUGAGACUGCAACGAUAAGUUGGAGAAGGUGGGGAUGACGUCAAAUCAUCAUGCCCUUUAUGACCUGGGCUACAAACGUACUACAAUGGCCAAUACAAAGAGAUGCGAAGCGGUGACGUGGAGCGAACCUCAGAAAGUUGGUCUCAGUUCAGAUUGAAGUCUGCAACUCGACUUCAUGAAGGCGGAAUCGCUAGUAAUCGCGGGUCAGCAGACCGCGGUGAAUACGUUCCCGGGUUUU
RNAcentral lists this ribosomal RNA (454 nucleotides) under uncultured Mollicutes bacterium. RNAcentral's name for it is "bacterial SSU rRNA". It matches the Rfam family "Bacterial small subunit ribosomal RNA", at positions 923 to 1382 of the family's 1533-position model. Lineage: Bacteria; Bacillati; Mycoplasmatota; Mollicutes. The record is from RNAcentral.